Leopardus geoffroyi (Geoffroy's cat) is the source of this 1404-nucleotide long non-coding RNA. RefSeq lists it as uncharacterized. The record is from RefSeq and is a predicted model, not a curated record. The transcript is spliced from 4 exons. Lineage: Eukaryota; Metazoa; Chordata; Mammalia; Carnivora; Felidae.
ACAACCGGAAGCAAAACAGCACGGGUUGGGCGGGAGGCGCCUGCGCGGUGCUUGCAGCGCCCUCUGGCGGCGGGAGGCCGGCCGAACCUCGCUGCCGCCGACCUGACUGGCACGUGCCCUCUGCAGGCACAAGACACUCCAGAUCUGGACAGUGGGGUCCCGCGAGGCUGGCUUGUCGUCUUCUGACGCGACUCCAUCGUGAGCGAAGCUUGUCCUUACUUUUCGAAGCCACCGAGUGUGGAGGUUGUUUGGAUUGGAGACGCAGGCUCUGGCUUGACCACCCUGGAGGCGGUUUUCUUUGACGAAGAAGCUCGCCCGUGGGGGGUCCCGGGGUCCCGGCGCAGGGGGACCGCCUCUGCCCAGGUCCUGCAGACCUCCCCGCCCAGGACCCGCCACCGCGUGCUGCCUGCAGGACCCCCGGAAACACACGCCCCUCUUCUCUCUCAAAACCUCCCAGCUCCACCCCUUCCUCCGAGGAGCCCUCCGGGUUCCCUCCCCCGGCAGGCCGUGCUGCUCUUCUGCUACUGCGUCGGCCACAGAAGCUGCACCCCGGACUCCGCCGCGCCCGUUUUACAGUUGGGGAAACUGAGGCCAGGACUGUGCAGUGAGGAGUGCCCGGGUCACACCUGCACCCUCCACCUCGUCCCAGCCGCCCAGGGUCCGGCUCUUCCUGCCUUCGGGGAGCUGAUGUGGGAGAACCUCGGAGCUGCUCUCAGAAACCAAACGUUCUAGAAGACGCUGAGGUCCAGAUAGGGGAAAUUGGACGCGAGGAACCAAAUCGUUCACAACCUGAGGGGCCGGCAGCCCCAGCUUUCCUCUGAGGAGGCCCCUUGCACAUCCGAGGGGACGUCGGGGCAGGGGUGGGGGAUCGACCGUGGAGCGAUGGGCCGGUGUUGAGGCGGUCAGCAAACACCCGUGUGCCCGAUUAGCCCCCAAGGCCUGGCACGCCCAGUGAGAACGAGGUCGCUCAGGAAGAGGCCCAUUUCUCCAGGCGGCUUCCUGAAUGCCAAGCCACGCUGCGGCGCUAACCGUGGACCACAGGCCCACAAACUUCCUGGCACUUUCUCCUGUUUCCUAGAAUCCCCCCCGCAAGGCAACUGAGGCUCUUGAACACCCCUCAGCAGGUGCAGCCGUGCCCACCAGAGGCCUGUGGUCGCCCCCAGAGCCCUGGCGAGUUUCCUCCGCUCCUCGUCCGGAACUCAGACGUGCAGCCUCGUUGAGGCAGCUCGCUUUUUCUGCAAGACGGACCCAGGACCGGUCAAGGGGCUCGGCCUCCCAUCCUAGUGCUGGGGAGGCGGGGGGGGGGGGGGGGUGGCGCUGGUGGGCUGGCGGACCACGUGACUUGGGAGGCGCCAGACAUCCCUACCUAACAGAAGUAAAUAAAACCAACGGAUGGCCAAAGCC